UUUGGCUGCACACCAGGAAAAUGGCUGCUGGGUCUACGUGUGUUCAACUGUACCUCAUUGCAUUAUACCCAAACUGAUCCACUAAGAACUGUUAAGAUUGAACCAGGAAAUAAAAUAGGACUCUGGCAGUCAACAUUAAGAGCUGUCUUUAAAUCAAUAGUCAGUUUGUUCUGUCCUCUUGUUAUAUUCUUUAUUGUUAUGGACAGAGGAAGACCUCAAUAUGAUAGAGCUUUUCGUACUGCAGUUGUACAUUAUAAAUAUUUGUACAGACCAAUUUAAUUAUUUACGGCUUUCACAUCUUUAGAAUUUUAAGUCACUAAUGGCAGUUUAAUUUACUGCAAUCAGUGCAAUGCAGCUUUGUAUGAACACAA
Molecule: long non-coding RNA, 371 nt
Organism: Amphimedon queenslandica
Lineage: Eukaryota; Metazoa; Porifera; Demospongiae; Haplosclerida; Niphatidae
Exons: 2
Source: RefSeq, a predicted model, not a curated record